AUGGAGCACCAGGGGCACGGCGCAGGCGAGAAGAAGGGCGUCAUGGAAAGCAUCACGGAGAAGCUCCCCCGUGGCCAUGGUGAUCACCAGCAGGCCACCGGUGGCACGUACGGGCAGCAAGGACACACCGGAGUUACCGGCACAGGCACCGGCACCGGCGAGAAGAAGGGCGUCGUCGAGAACAUCAAGGAGAAGCUUCCCGGUGGGCACGGUGACCACCAGCACACCACUGGAAUGAGCGGCUCGAAGACGCAUGCCACCACAGCCACCACCGAUGGCAACUACGGGAAGUCGGGACACACCGGCACUGACAGCACCGGUGAGAACAAGAGCAUGAUGGACAAGAUCAAGGACAAGCUGCCUGGACAGCACUAA
RNAcentral lists this ribosomal RNA (375 nucleotides) under Triticum aestivum (bread wheat). RNAcentral's name for it is "partial small subunit ribosomal RNA". The record is from RNAcentral. Lineage: Eukaryota; Viridiplantae; Streptophyta; Magnoliopsida; Poales; Poaceae.